AGUGGCGGACGGGUGAGUAAUGUCUGGGAAACUGCCUGAUGGAGGGGGAUAACUACUGGAAACGGUGGCUAAUACCGCAUAACGUCGCAAGACCAAAGAGGGGGACCUUCGGGCCUCUUGCCAUCAGAUGUGCCCAGAUGGGAUUAGCUUGUUGGUGAGGUAACGGCUCACCAAGGCGACGAUCCCUAGCUGGUCUGAGAGGAUGACCAGCCACACUGGAACUGAGACACGGUCCAGACUCCUACGGGAGGCAGCAGUGGGGAAUAUUGCACAAUGGGCGCAAGCCUGAUGCAGCCAUGCCGCGUGUAUGAAGAAGGCCUUCGGGUUGUAAAGUACUUUCAGCGGGGAGGAAGGUGUUGUGGUUAAUAACCGCAGCAAUUGACGUUACCCGCAGAAGAAGCACCGGCUAACUCCGUGCCAGCAGCCGCGGUAAUACGGAGGGUGCAAGCGUUAAUCGGAAUUACUGGGCGUAAAGCGCACGCAGGCGGUCUGUCAAGUCGGAUGUGAAAUCCCCGGGCUCAACCUGGGAACUGCAUUCGAAACUGGCAGGCUUGAGUCUUGUAGAGGGGGGUAGAAUUCCAGGUGUAGCGGUGAAAUGCGUAGAGAUCUGGAGGAAUACCGGUGGCGAAGGCGGCCCCCUGGACAAAGACUGACGCUCAGGUGCGAAAGCGUGGGGAGCAAACAGGAUUAGAUACCCUGGUAGUCCACGCCGUAAACGAUGUCUACUUGGAGGUUGUGCCCUUGAGGCGUGGCUUCCGGAGCUAACGCGUUAAGUAGACCGCCUGGGGAGUACGGCCGCAAGGUUAAAACUCAAAUGAAUUGACGGGGGCCCGCACAAGCGGUGGAGCAUGUGGUUUAAUUCGAUGCAACGCGAAGAACCUUACCUGGUCUUGACAUCCACAGAACUUUCCAGAGAUGGAUUGGUGCCUUCGGGAACUGUGAGACAGGUGCUGCAUGGCUGUCGUCAGCUCGUGUUGUGAAAUGUUGGGUUAAGUCCCGCAACGAGCGCAAC
RNAcentral lists this ribosomal RNA (1012 nucleotides) under Salmonella enterica. RNAcentral's name for it is "bacterial SSU rRNA". It matches the Rfam family "Bacterial small subunit ribosomal RNA", at positions 94 to 1102 of the family's 1533-position model. Lineage: Bacteria; Pseudomonadati; Pseudomonadota; Gammaproteobacteria; Enterobacterales; Enterobacteriaceae. The record is from RNAcentral. RNAcentral also lists the same sequence under 1 other name.